RNAcentral lists this ribosomal RNA (583 nucleotides) under uncultured bacterium. Its description in RNAcentral is "bacterial SSU rRNA". It matches the Rfam family "Bacterial small subunit ribosomal RNA", at positions 224 to 800 of the family's 1533-position model. The record is from RNAcentral.
GAUGGGCCUGCGGCGCAUUAGCUAGUUGGUGGGGUAACGGCUCACCAAGGCGACGAUGCGUAGCCGACCUGAGAGGGUGAACGGCCACACUGGGACUGAGACACGGCCCAGACUCCUACGGGAGGCAGCAGUAGGGAAUCUUCCGCAAUGGGCGCAAGCCUGACGGAGCAAUGCCGCGUGAGUGAUGAAGGUUUUCGGAUCGUAAAGCUCUGUUGCCAGGGAAGAACGUCUUAUAGAGUAACUGCUAUAAGAGUGACGGUACCUGAGAAGAAAGCCCCGGCUAACUACGUGCCAGCAGCCGCGGUAAUACGUAGGGGGCAAGCGUUGUCCGGAAUUAUUGGGCGUAAAGCGCGCGCAGGCGGCUAUUUAAGUCUGGUGUUUAAACCUUGGGCUCAACCUGAGGUCGCACUGGAAACUGGGUGGCUUGAGUACAGAAGAGGAAAGUGGAAUUCCACGUGUAGCGGUGAAAUGCGUAGAUAUGUGGAGGAACACCAGUGGCGAAGGCGACUUUCUGGGCUGUAACUGACGCUGAGGCGCGAAAGCGUGNGGAGCAAACAGGAUUAGAUACCCUGGUAGUCCACGC